This 253-nucleotide ribosomal RNA is filed under the name uncultured bacterium. RNAcentral's name for it is "partial 16S ribosomal RNA". It matches the Rfam family "Bacterial small subunit ribosomal RNA", at positions 524 to 776 of the family's 1533-position model. The record is from RNAcentral.
UACGAAGGGGGCUAGCGUUGCUCGGAAUUACUGGGCGUAAAGCGCGCGUAGGCGGGUCUUUAAGUCAGGGGUGAAAUCCUGGAGCUCAACUCCAGAACUGCCUUUGAUACUGAGGACCUUGAGUUCGGGAGAGGUGAGUGGAACUGCGAGUGUAGAGGUGAAAUUCGUAGAUAUUCGCAAGAACACCAGUGGCGAAGGCGGCUCACUGGCCCGGUACUGACGCUGAGGUGCGAAAGCGUGGGGAGCAAACAGG